CACGUAGGGUGCGAGCGUUGUCCGGAAUUAUUGGGCGUAAAGAGCUCGUAGGCGGUGUGUCGCGUCGGCCGUGAAAACCUGCAGCUUAACUGUGGGCUUGCGGUCGAUACGGGCAUCACUGGAGUUCGGCAGGGGAGACUGGAAUUCCUGGUGUAGCGGUGAAAUGCGCAGAUAUCAGGAGGAACACCGGUGGCGAAGGCGGUUCUCUGGGCCGAUACUGACGCUGAGGAGCGAAAGCGUGGGGAGCGAACAGG
Molecule: ribosomal RNA, 254 nt
Filed under: uncultured bacterium
Lineage: Bacteria
Description: partial 16S ribosomal RNA
Rfam family: Bacterial small subunit ribosomal RNA
Source: RNAcentral